This 763-nucleotide ribosomal RNA is filed under the name uncultured Enterobacteriaceae bacterium. RNAcentral describes it as "bacterial SSU rRNA". It matches the Rfam family "Bacterial small subunit ribosomal RNA", at positions 737 to 1502 of the family's 1533-position model. Lineage: Bacteria; Pseudomonadati; Pseudomonadota; Gammaproteobacteria; Enterobacterales; Enterobacteriaceae. The record is from RNAcentral.
GUACUGACGCUGAGAUGCGAAGCGUGGGGAGCAAACAGGAUUAGAUACCUGGUAGUCCACGCUGUAAACGAUGUCGAUUUGGAGUUUGGGGGCAUGACCCUUGGGCUCCGGAGCUAACGCGUUAAAUCGACCGCUGGGGAGUACGGCCGCAAGGUUAAAACUCAAAUGAAUUGACGGGGGCCCGCACAAGCGGUGGAGCAUGUGGUUUAAUUCGAUGCAACGCGAAGAACCUUACCUGGUCUUGACAUCCAUAGAAUCUUUCAGAGAUGAGAGAGUGCCUUCGGGAGCUAUGAGACAGGUGCUGCAUGGCUGUCGUCAGCUCGUGUUGUGAAAUGUUGGGUUAAGUCCCGCAACGAGCGCAACCCCUAUCCUUUGUUGCCAGCACGUAAUGGUGGGAACUCAAAGGAGACUGCCGUUGAUAAAGCGGAGGAAGGUGGGGACGACGUCAAGUCAUCAUGGCCCUUACGACCAGGGCUACACACGUGCUACAAUGGCGUAUACAAAGGGAUGCGAAGGUGCGAACUGGAGCGGACCUCACAAAGUACGUCUAGGUCCGGAUUGGAGUCUGCAACUCGACUCCAUGAAGUCGGAAUCGCUAGUAAUCGUGAAUCAGAAUGUCACGGUGAAUACGUUCCCGGGCCUUGUACACACCGCCCGUCACACCAUGGGAGUGGGUUGCACCAGAAGUAGAUAGCUUAACCUUCGGGAGGGCGUUUACCACGGUGUGGUUCAUGACCGGGGUGAAGUCGUAACAAGGUAACCA